Molecule: ribosomal RNA, 497 nt
Filed under: uncultured bacterium
Lineage: Bacteria
Description: partial 16S ribosomal RNA
Rfam family: Bacterial small subunit ribosomal RNA
Source: RNAcentral
GGGGGGGGCGGGCGGGGGGGGGGGGGGAGGGGAGUCGAGGGGACGGGGGCGACGCUUGCUGCGGUGCGUGUAGCGGCGGACGGGUGAGGCACGCGUGGAUAGCAUCCCUAUCAGGCUGGGGUAAACUCUGGGAACCGUCGCUAAUAACGGAUCCUAUUUUUAACCGCAUGGUUCAAAAGUGAAAGCCGGUCUUGCUGUCACUUAUAGAUGGAUCCGCGCUGCAGUCUCUAGUUGGUAAGGUAAAGCCUUACCAAGGCAACGCUGCAGAGCCGCCCUGAGAGUGUGAUCGGGCAGACGGGAACUGAGACACGGGCCAGACUCCUACGGGAGGCAGCAGUAGGGAAUCUUCCGCAAUGGGCGAAAGCCUGACGGCGCAACGCCGCGUGAGGGAUGAAGGUCUUCUGAUCGUAAAACCGUGUUAUUAGGGAAGAACAUAUGUGUAAGUACCUGUGCACAUCGUGACGGUACCUAAUCAGAAGGCAACGGCUAACUACGUG